CUUCGACCAGUGUUGUUGAACUGUCAAAGAUAACUGCUGGAUAUGGUAUUUAAUACCGAAACGGGAUAAUGGCACAUUAAUGCUACAUGACUUCUUAAAGGUUAUUGACUGAGCUUUCCUGCAACAUGAUAUUGGUUCCAAAGCUGGACAUCUCUCAUUGGGGUUUUCAACUCCAUUCAGAGCAUGAGGAUUUGCUACUAUGAGAGAGACAAAUGGGACAGAAGUUUGUACUAAGUGUUGUGGACCAGGUUUCACUGAGCCCUAGGAGGAGGUAGCAUAGAGAUAUUUUCAAUGUCUUCACCUCCAAAAUCCCACUGGGACAAGAAAUAGAGAUGCCAGAAUAUCAUAAGGAAUAUCACAGAGUAGUCCUGCUCCAGUUGGACAUGGGAGCUACUGGAAAGCACAGAAAUAAUCAGCCCAGCUUUGGUCACAAAAAGCUGAGGCACAGGAAUUGAGGUAGAUGUCAUCUACUUGGAUUUUAAGAAGGCCUUCAAUAUGGUAUCUCAUUGUAUUCUCACAGAUAAACUGAGUGGCUGUGAUAUAGAUGAUUACACAGUCAGGCAACAUGCAACAUCCAUGUGGCACCCUUGUCGUCAGACCGCCUUUUUUGGCUCUGUUAUUUGCAUGUGACGAAGUGGUAGUAGAAAAUCAGAGGCUGGCACAGAUCAUGUGUUUGUGUGACACUGAUUCAGGCAUCAUUCAUACGAUUCUGUUAUAAGAUAGUAAAACAAAUUAAUUUUGGCCCCUGCCAGCCAAACUCCACAAGGCUCAUUCCAUUCUUAUGAGUAAAGCCCAGGUAAAGAAAGGUGCCAGAACUGGCAGGUACCCACAGUGAAAAAAUAAAACGAACAUCCCCUACUGAUGUUUUUUAGAAAUGUGGUGCCCUUCUUGCUUGCUCUGAGAGAAUACUGUCACCCCAAUUAGACUGUGCUGCAAAUCAGAAGUGGCACAGCUGCUCCCUGCAGGCCCUUUACAGUUAUUAUUGUAAUUCUCUAAGUCCUAAGAAGGUCUGUACCUCUACCCUGUAAAAGAAGCAUCUUUAUUUGGCCUUGUGCAUGUUUAGUCUGCUGUUUCUUGGCAGAAGUAUUUCAGCGAGUGUAUCCACCAGAUUGACACGAAAGUGUUUUCUUUAGUUGCCAUCUGUCUGGACUGAUUGAAAAAAAGUAAAGUGGAACUUGUUUAGAAAAAAAUAUAAGCCGUUAACUUGGCACAAGGAAUGUAUGAAA
Alligator sinensis (Chinese alligator) is the source of this 1226-nucleotide long non-coding RNA. RefSeq lists it as uncharacterized. The transcript is spliced from 5 exons. NCBI's taxonomy places the organism in Eukaryota, Metazoa, Chordata, Crocodylia, Alligatoridae. The record is from RefSeq and is a predicted model, not a curated record.